This 773-nucleotide ribosomal RNA is filed under the name uncultured Neocallimastigales. Its description in RNAcentral is "partial large subunit ribosomal RNA". It matches the Rfam family "Eukaryotic large subunit ribosomal RNA", at positions 24 to 632 of the family's 3401-position model. The record is from RNAcentral. Lineage: Eukaryota; Fungi; Neocallimastigomycota; Neocallimastigomycetes; Neocallimastigales.
UACGACUACAUAUCAGGCAUAUCAAUAAGCGGAGGAAAAGAAACUAACAAGGAUUCCCUAGUAACGGCGAGUGAAGCGGGAAGAGCUCAAAUUUGAAAUCUUCAAGGUUCUACCUUGACGAAUUGUAGUUUAAAGAAGUGUUUUCUGAUAGAGGAGUAGCAAAAGUUCCUUGGAAUGGGACAUCAUAGAGGGUGAGAAUCCCGUAUUUGGUUAUUCUUUCUAGCUUUGUGAUACACUUUCAAAGAGUCGGAUUGUUUGGGAAUGCAGUCCAAAAUGGGUGGUAAAUUUCAUCUAAAGCUAAAUAUUGGCGAGAGACCGAUAGCGAACAAGUACCGUGAGGGAAAGAUGAAAAGAACUUUGAAAAGAGAGUUAAACAGUACGUGAAAUUGUCAAAAGGGAAGCGUUUGACACCAGUGUUGUUUAGUUGAAAAUCAAUUCAAUAGUUUUUGAUUCUAAGUAGUAUUGACUUCAUCAGCUUGCUGCUUUCUUCUCAGAAAUUAUUGAAUGCACUUUUCAGUUAACAAGUCAACAUCAAUUUCCUUUGUUGUAAAAGGGUAAGAGGAAGGUGGCUUGCGCUUCGGCUCAAGUGUUUAUAGCCUUAUACCUCUACAAUCGGAGAGAUUGAGGUCUGCAGCGUAGAUCCUUCAGGGCUAGAUACACUUGUGCUAAGUUAUAGCUUUUCAUAGACAACUUGUUGACUAUGUUUAGUCAUGUAGCUUACCCGCUUGUGCUAUUUUACCUACGCUUAGGAUGUUGAUCUACAGAGCGAGAGU